Molecule: long non-coding RNA, 934 nt
Organism: Pogoniulus pusillus (Red-fronted tinkerbird)
Lineage: Eukaryota; Metazoa; Chordata; Aves; Piciformes; Lybiidae
Exons: 4
Source: RefSeq, a predicted model, not a curated record
UUCAGAUAACCCACAGCCAUCUCUCUAGGACAGAAAAAGAUUCAGUACCAUGUGAAUUCAAUCCUUUUCAGAAUUAUCACAGCUGCUGGAUAGGAAAUAAAUGACUGAAUGAAGGUCUGCAGAGCCCUGUCCUGUACUGACAAAGAUUUCAGCUACUGUGGGAUAGUCUGGAGAAUCUCCUCAUCAAGCAAGACAUGACCAUUAAAGGAGUUAUCACCAAAAAAGAAAUAAUUUCCUCUGACUUGAGAAUACCUAAAAAAGAGCAAGUGCAGCAACCCCCUGAACAGCACCGUGGAGUUAUCCUAAGCAAUAGCUGUGAGCUGUUACAACUACAUGCUCUUCUAACCUCUGUGGUACUUAACUCACACUUUAAAGGACAUCUCAUUUUCCAUCGUUCCUAGAUAACUAAUCCAUUCCAGUCCCUGCCUGCAAUCAGAACAUACUGCAAAAACCCAAUCUACAUACCGAAAGACAAGUACAUCCUUAAUUCCCGACUGAAUUAAAAGCAAACGUGAUUUCCCUGGCAGGUGUUGUAGGGUCACUUCUUAACGAGAACAAACUCAGGCUCAUUGCAAGGACUGGCAAAAAGAUUCCUCUCUGCUUUGCUGAAUAUGCAUGCUCUGAGAACAUUUGUUUUGCCAUGUAAAGGGAGAUCUGUUUCCAGACCUGCAUGACCCACAUGGGAAGCUGACUGGUUUCAAUUACAAGAGAUCUCAUGUACUAAAAGAUACAGGUGAAGGUAUGACUGCAGACAUCAAAUAAACAUCAGUGAUACUAAUGAGUUAAGAGCUACUGGACCUGUGGAACAUCUGAUGAAACUGGACAAUCAGAAAGUGAAGCCAUAGCUGGAGAUGUGGUGUUUGUAUCUCCUUUCAAUAAAAAGAUCUGUCACAAGAUUUCUUAGGUAACUGUGUUGCCCUAAGCUUUUCCUCAG